AAUGCGUCCCGGGUGAGUCCCGGCAUCGGCACCGAGCGAGGGAGUCCCGGGACCGGUGUUCGAGUGUGGAAGAGAUAUUCCUGUGGUCUCUUGAAGGCAUAGCUGUCACCUGACCUCUUCUCCAAAGCUUUUCCUCUCUAUUUGCACUGCAUUUAAAGAAAGUCCAGAACAGUCACGUCUCCUCAAACACGCGUGGCCUGCUGUACGUGCUGAGCAAGAGGAAGAGCCCUUCAUCAUCCCAGUCACGUGUGGACCUGAGAGGAGAAGGAGGAGGAGCCAUUGUUUGACCGAAGCUUCUGGGGAGGGUAGAUCAAAGUGAGUGUAGUGCUUGCUGCCUGUCCAUGCUGUUGGCUGUGCUGUGAAGUGUCUGUGAGUCAGCUCCUCAGAUACUUGAGAGCCAUCAGUCUUGUCCAGCUGCAUACUUUCAGCAAUGGUCACUACUUACUUUAU
Long non-coding RNA from Manacus vitellinus (golden-collared manakin), 450 nucleotides. The record is from Ensembl. NCBI's taxonomy places the organism in Eukaryota, Metazoa, Chordata, Aves, Passeriformes, Pipridae.